AAAUAUUUUGAACUGGCUUGACAAGAACGGCUUUUUUCCCCCCCGUAGAACUGGUUUCCCUUGUGGACUGUUGGAAUUACUGAGGUUGGGUGAGAAUAUUCUUGAUUUGCCUGAUGGUCCUAGGCGUGGUUUGCUGACACCUGCACGUCAGCCUUCAGAGCAUUUUAGCAACAAGGAAGGAUUAUCUCUACCAUGGUACACAGCGAGAAAGGAAACUUACUCGUCGCUGGGUUCUAAAUGCAACAGGUGAAGGACAGGACCUAGGCCAUGCACUCAGUGGAGGCAUAUUGGACCAUACUUGACACUUCGUCAUUGCCAAGCUUUUUACUCUGCCUUGCCUUUGUCUUUGCCACGGCAGCAAGCCUUGCGGCUGUCUGCAGCUUUUGCCCAAAGCUAACAUUACCAGGAUGGAAAUUCUUCAAUUCCAAUGAUCCAGAGUCUCAAGUUAAUUCAGUGACUUUCAACCAUCAAUCGGUUCAUUCAGUGUCACGUAAUUCUACGUCUCCAACUCCUGUUUUGGACUUUCCAAUUGGGGAUGGAUUUUACGAUGGUGACAUGAUGUACGAGACCAUCCCAGAAGAGACAGUGAUAAAUCCGCAUCACCAUACUCUUGCCAGAAUUAGAGAUUCCCUCAAACACCAGACGGAAUACCAGAGGCGGACAGAUGUCGUCUCUCCAACACCUGUCCAGGCGAAUUUGCAAAGGAAUUUCCAGGUAGGGAACAGUAACAAUAUCCUUCUGUCUUCUGCCUGAAACAGUUUCUGUCAAUCUCACUUACUGUAUAUUUCCCAUCACUACUCGAUCAUAAUUGUGAAGUUUCACUUCGAUUGAUGAAGCGGUUCAAGAGAAAGAAUUAAAAAAAAAACAUUUUCACUCAAUCCAAUAUGGCUGCCAAACUGUGUGACAUCAAUUAUUCGUGAAUACCCUCAUAUCCCCAAGGUUUGGGGAACAUUUGUGUGAAGAUUCCCCUCGAUCUGUCCAGGCGUUCUGGAGAAGAAGAUUUUUUUUGAAAAGGUUUCAGCAUAAAUCCAAUAUGGCUGCCAAACCAUGUGACCGAUGAUAUCAUAUUUGUGAACGUUUUGUUCCUCGUGGAUAGGCGGUCACACUUGUAAAGUUUCGCCUCGAUCUGUUCAGUCAUUUUAAAGAGGAGGAUUUUUAAAGGUUAAAAAUACAAACAAACAAAAAGAAAAAACAAUAUUGCUUCUAAAAUUACGUGACUGAUAACAUCAUCAAUUUUUUUUCUAUGGACCAAUUCAUCCCUUGAUGACCCUCAAAAAUUUUCAUACUGAUCAGAUGUAACGUUCUACAUAUGCAAUGAUGUCAUAACAUUAACAAAGGCACCUUUGAUGUCAUUAAAAAAAGUCACACAUUCCCCCUGAGGAGUGCUUGCUAUGGGCCAAGUUUCAAUCUUUUCCUUGGUGCAGUUUCAGAUACAGAGGUCCAAAGUUUUUCCGUUUUUCCAACAUGGCUGCCACACCACAUGACCUAUGAUGUCAUAAUUAUCAAUGAAACAUUAUUAACGAGUAGUCACUCCGAUGGUAAAAAAAAUUCAUCUCAAUCCGACAAGCUGUUGCGGAGAAAAACACUAAAGUUCUGUGCAGACAAACAGACAGACAGGAAAACGGACCCAAAUUCAAUACCCUUUCCUCUGGCAAGGGUAGUCACCAAUUGCUUUAGAAACAGCUGCGAGGACAAAGGACAAAGGAGGAUGCUGCUGAGGUUGAAAGGUGAAACGUCCACCACGGAGCCAUGUAUCACAGGCCUAGGUGCAUGUUGAGUCCACGCACCCGUGAAUCCCAUACACCGCACACAUUACCAAACAUGCAGCCCCCCCCCCCCCCCCCCCCCCCCCCCCCCCCCCCCCCCCCACCCACACACACACACACACACACACACACACACACACACACACACACACACACACACACACACACACACACACACACACACAAACCAAAUAAACCUCCAAUUUCU
Molecule: long non-coding RNA, 1974 nt
Filed under: Eptatretus burgeri (inshore hagfish)
Lineage: Eukaryota; Metazoa; Chordata; Myxini; Myxiniformes; Myxinidae
Description: lncRNA (ENSEBUG00000017162.1)
Source: RNAcentral